AACUGAAUGCUACCUGCAUAUAGCCAACAGAGAAACCACAACAAAAGUAGCGCUCAGAAUUGUUGUCUGAGUGCCAAGAAAAAGCCCAACAGAUUCGAGUCACAGACAUCCAAAGAGUGAGCCUGAACCUGAACCAUGCCUGAACCUGAGCGACCCUGGCCCAGGCACACAUAUUUUGGGCACAUGCCCCAGGAAAAUGGGGAGAUUUGACUGCCAAUUCAGCACAACAAACUGGAUGGAGAGACACAGCCACCAAUGGUAGGGCAGGGAUGUUAACAACUUUACAGUGACCGAGUUUAUUCAGAACUUUAUCAUGUCAAGGGCAGCUUUUAAUCAUAUAUGUCAGCGCUUCUUCUCUCAACUCCACAGGCAGAAGACUUGAUGCAAUCCAGUGUAUUGAUCAUCACAUGCUCGUUAACCUCAAUAGCAAGUCCUCUGUUUGAAUGGUUGUAUACGAAUUUUGCAAAAUAAACUACAUCCUCGUCCAGACAGUUCCUAUGAGCCUUUCAAUAAGCCUUGAAUUAAGUUUUAUCUCUGUUUAUUAACGAGCACUAAUAUCUCACUGUCUUUCCACUGUGCAGUACUAUUCUAGACCCCUGUCUGUUUUGCUAACUGCUACCAUUUCCUGCUGGCGGCGCAAAACUGUGACAAAUGCAAUGGAAAAUGACGUCAAAGUCACAUCAAAUCUGCCUUGGGCGUUCCCACUGGAGUCACUUUCCAAACGAUCAGAUGCGAGUUGGA
This is a long non-coding RNA of Girardinichthys multiradiatus, 741 nucleotides long. RefSeq lists it as uncharacterized. The record is from RefSeq and is a predicted model, not a curated record. The transcript is spliced from 3 exons. Lineage: Eukaryota; Metazoa; Chordata; Actinopteri; Cyprinodontiformes; Goodeidae.